UAGACCUCAAAUCAGGUGGGACUACCCGCUGAACUUAAGCAUAUCAAUAAGCGGAGGAAAAGAAACUAACAAGGAUUCCCCUAGUAACGGCGAGUGAAGAGGGAAAAGCCCAAAUUUGUAAUCUGGCUCUUUUUAUAAGGGUCCGAGUUGUA
Molecule: ribosomal RNA, 152 nt
Filed under: Chrysomyxa ledi
Lineage: Eukaryota; Fungi; Basidiomycota; Pucciniomycetes; Pucciniales; Coleosporiaceae
Description: partial 28S ribosomal RNA
Rfam family: Eukaryotic large subunit ribosomal RNA
Source: RNAcentral